This 469-nucleotide ribosomal RNA is filed under the name uncultured bacterium. RNAcentral's name for it is "partial 16S ribosomal RNA". It matches the Rfam family "Bacterial small subunit ribosomal RNA", at positions 28 to 507 of the family's 1533-position model. The record is from RNAcentral.
GACGAACGCUGGCGGCGUGCUUAACACAUGCAAGUCGAACGGAAAGGCCCUGCUUGCAGGGUGCUCGAGUGGCGAACGGGUGAGUAACACGUGGGUGAUCUGCCCCUUACUUUGGGAUAAGCCUGGGGAACUGGGUCUAAUACUGGAUAGGACCAUGCUGUAGGUGGUGUGGUGGAAAGAUUAGUUUCGGUGGGGGAUGAGCGCGCGGCGUAUCAGCUUGUUGGUGGGGUAAUGGCCUACCAAGGCGUCGACGGGUAGCAGGCGUGAGAGGGUGGAAGGCCACAUUGGGACGGAGAUGCGGCCCAGAAUCCUACGGGGGGCAGCAGUGGUGAAGAUUGUAGAAUAGGGGGAAGACUGAUGCAGCGACGACGCGGGGGGGAUGAUGGCCUUCUGCUUGUAAAAUCCUGUCAGCCAUGGCGAAGCACCGGUGGUGACGGUAGUGGUAGAAGAAGCACCGGCUAACUACGUG